CUAUACUUGGCUGAGCAUGAGGGCUGGCUUCUGGCUGACAUGGCUGCUAUCUGGAAAAUCUUGGAAGUCCGCUGGCAGAGAAGCACACUGGAACUGAACUGGAUGAGGUAAACACAGCCAUCCUGUUGACGGAGAUGCCAGAGCUCCCUGUGCCUGCAGAUCGUUCAUUCUCUUGUGGGGGAAAACAUGUGCUGGUAUUUUUGAACGAUUCCUGAUAUCCUCUACAGAUAGAGAGUUGCAGCUUAGUACGCCUGGAAAUAAAUGUCUUAACUGCUCUGUGUUGUACUCUGUGUUGUACUCAGAGCUGUUUGGUUUUGCAUCUUAUUGAUGUAGGCUUUUGGAAAGUGCAAAUGGUUCAAUGAAAAAAGAAGUGAAGUACCUUAAGUGAAAUUCUGGAAUUACAAUUUCUGGUGCACUGUCCAACAGUGUGUGAAUGUCUCAUAUGCUUGCCAUGUACACAUUUGAACUCCAUCGUAGGAAAAUUGUAACUCGCUUGUACUGCAUGAAAUUGAGAAUAUGCCAUAUGUGAACACCAAGGGCCCAGUGGGAGUUUUUGGGCUUUUAAUUGUGUUGGGCAGGGUCUUGUUCUCUGCAUCAGUGUCUCAGCUAUGUUGAAUAGGAAUAGUGUUAAUGAAUGACAGCAAUCUGAAAACUUCCCUUUUUAAGGGGUAAAUUUCACAUGCUAUUCCGCCACCCCACCCCAAAUCCCAUUACAUGGUGACUUGACCCAGCUAUUCCAGGUUUGAAAAAUCUUGUGGUCCUAACUCAAUGAGUCAAUUUAAUGGUUUAUUGAUUGCUGUCAUUCAGCAAUGAUUCCCAUCUUGCAGUUAUGAGUUAUCUCCAGACUGAAUCAGUGAACUCUAAUUAAAAAGACAUGUACAUUUCAUGUUUAUAUUGGAUAACCCACUGCCAGUCUUUAGUGCUGGGGGACAGCUGGUGUUAGCUGGCUGCCUAGCCAUUAUGUAAGUAAUGAUUUAUCAAGAAACUGGAAGUUUGUUGACUUUGCGAGGACCAGUUGUCUCUAGUGAGGUAGCUGCAUUUUGCCCCCAUGAGGUGAAAAAAACUGCUAGUUACCUGUGGCAGAAUCCUAAAGAUCAGCUGGUGCCAUGUUCAGGUUUUUGUGUGCUGUUCGAAUUCUCUCUGGUCUCUUUGCUGGCACUCUUCUCCUGUCCACAAAACCAAAAUAUCUGUGAGUGCCAGUCACCACGUUGUCCAUCUUCUGCUAGAUAAAUUGGUUUGGUUCAGAUUGUCAUUUGAGGAUUAAGUGAUCUUAGCAAAAACAAAAGGAGGAAAGGAUAGAAAGGAUCAGUGACCUCUUUGUCUGCCAAGGUGAUUAGAGGAUGUGACUUUUUUAGGGCUUCUAAUUAGUAAAUAUCCAGAGUUUACAUGACUAGAAUGUGGGUUUAUUUCUCCCUAAUUUCCCUCUAUCCACCAAAAUGUGUGGUUUUUUAAAUAUUUCCCCUGAUGCAUCUGUGGCUGCUAGUAUCAACAACCCAGAUCUUAGGUUUUUGUGGCUUACCUAGGCAUUUUAACAGUCUGUUUUAUAAUGAUGCCCUCUUAAUGCAUAGUAAUCCAAGAAAGGCCGUACAGGAACGUGAUAUACUUCAGCAUCCCAGCAUCAGAAUGGGAUGGGGGAUGACUGCAAGAAUUCCCUGGUUUCUAUCCACCCAGAAGGUGAUUGGGCCAGAUCCGGCCCCUGGGCCUUAGUUUGCCUACCCAUGGACUAGGACCUGGGAGACACUCAUCCAAGAGGUUCACCUUGGGCCAGUUUAACAUACUUUUUACAGUUUAACAUAGAGUUUAACAUACCUCAGCCUAACAUACUUCACAGAGUGGCUGUGACCAUAAAGUAGAGUGGGGGGGGGGACGAUGACCCUACCACCUUGAAGGUGGGAUAUAAAUGUAAUAAGUAAAUAAGCAGGGUGUAGGAAACGCUGCUUAAUUAUGGACUCCCAAUCUGCUCCUUCCCCCAUAAUUUCACAUAGGAAUGUGGAGAUGCCUUGAUCCCAUCCUCAUGUUGCAGUAUCUCAAGGGGUGGGACAAAGUUGCCCCCACAGCGGGCAAACAGGGAGGGAAAUCUUAAAGUCGUGAGUCUUUCUCCAGCACUUCUGGAAUUAACUUCCCUCUCUUCAUUCUUUCACCUACACGAGCCACACUUUCCACUUUAACUGACAUAAAUGAGGACUCACAGAGAGACAAAUCAACAGGCUCCGCAACUCAUGUGGAGAAAUCUUGGACAGGGUCACCUCUCCAUUACCAACAACGUCCUACGUGUCUUUUUGUACAUUUUGAUAAAUGUCAGAUGCCUGCCUUGCUGCAAGAAUUGUGGGCAGUCGGCAGUUAUGUAUUAAAACAGUUGCACAAGCCAAUUCUGUGUGGAUUCGCUGUGUUUGCAAAACAAGAUGCAGUGGCUUACUGUCAGCUGCUGACGCCUUUGACAAGAGCGUCCCUGUUAUCUGUAAAAUGUUGGAAGGUGUGGGUCCCACUUCAGAUGUUGCGAUCAUACAGCAGGCUUCCUCAACCUUGGCCCUCCAGAUGUUUUGAGACUACAGUUCCCAUCAUCCCUCACCACUGGUCCUGCUAGCUAGGGAUCAUGGGAGUUGUAGGCCACAAAUAUCUGGAGGGCCGAGGUUGAGGAAACCUGGUUUAAAGCCAUGCUAUGCAACAUGCAGGACGCGGGUGGCGCUGUGGUCUAAACCACUGAGCCUAGGGCUUGCCGAUUGGAAGGUCGGCGGUUUGAAUCCCCAUGACGGGGGUGAGCUCCUGUUGUUCGGUCCCAGCUCCUGCCAACCUAGUAGUUCGAAAGCACGUAAAGUGCAAGUAGAUAAAUAGGUACCACUCUGGUGGGAAGGUAAACGGCAUUUCCGUGCGCUGCUCUGGUUUUACCAGAAGCGGCUUAGUCAUGCUGGCCACAUGACCCAGAAAAACUGUUUGCAGACAAAUGUCGGCUCCCUCGGCCUGUAAAGCGAGAUGAACGCUGCAACCCCAGAGUCGGUCACUACUGGACCUAAUGUUCAGGGGUCCCUUUACCUUUAUGAUGAGGGUUGUUUUUUUUAGUGUGUUCUUUUUUGUUCUUGUUUUUAUUAUGUAUUUUGUGUUUUUGCAUUGUAUUUUUACUUUGCGAACCCCCCGAGAUCUACAGAUGAAGGGCGGUAUACAAAUUUAAUUAAUAAAUUAACAAAUACCAAUUCACAACUUUUUGUUUUAGUCCAAAUCAUUGACCACUGCUAUCAAUUGAAAAGGGACUGAAGGGGAUGUUGGAUAGCAAAUGCCAAGGAUCUGAGGUGUGGCUUAUUGUGGCCAUCUCACUGCAGUGGCUUAUAGAUCCUAUUUGAUCAUGGAAACAUUUCUUCACAUGACGUGUUCCAGGUGUGGUAGUCACACAGAAUGUUGACCUUACCCCAUGGAAAUUGGAAAAAAAACAACAGCACGUCACAAUACCUCCUUGUGGAUAAACAUAUAUUCAGUGGGAAAGGUGUUGUGGCUGUAUUUCUGGGAAUUUCCUCUGUCAUUGAUGCCUUUCUCAUUGGGAAACCUCCACUAAGCUUCUGAGGAAGUCCAGGGAUUCUCAGAACACAGUUCAAAGACCAGGUUGUGGGUAGAAUUCAGUGUUACACAAUGUGAACAUCUCAUAAGGACAAUACUCUGAGGUGUACAGUGGUUGGAUUUCUGAUGGUCAGCAUUUGAAGGCACAGGAGAACCUUGGGGGGGGGAGGGAGCUAGAGGGAGCAACUACAGUGGUACCUCGGGUUACAGACGCUUCAGGUUACAGACUCUGCUAACCCAGAAAUAGUACCUCGGGUUGAGAACUUUGCUUCAGGAUGAGAACAGAAAUCGCGCCGCCACAGUGCAGCGGCAGUGGGAAGCCCCAUUAGCUAAAGUGAAGAACAGUUUCAGGUUAAGAACGGACCUCCAGAAUGAAUUACGUUCUUAACCUGAGGUACCACUGUAUUGGCUGUUUACGCUUUAUCUGAUUAUUUUCCUUUUUAUUCAUUGCAACCUUUAACAGCAAGUCUUGUCAGUUGACUUGAGAAUCCCCUGCUCUUGUGCCUUUAACAACCAUACAAUCUGCAGAAAUAAAUUGGGAUGACUGGAUCCCCUGCUAAUGCUACCCAACGAACCAAUUGUCGCAGGCAAAAAAGCAGUGGCAGCCGCCCAAAGUUGGCAAUUCCAAUAAAGAGGCAAGAGUGUGGUUAGGAGAAAAGGAUGGGCAACCUUUAUUUCUAACCUUAAUUCGCUUAAUAGAUUAUAUAUUUAAGAGGCAUAUGUAAGGUUGCAUGUGAAUUCUUGCUCUUCUAAAUGAUGUGUGAUAUCUUAUUAAUGAGGUCCCUUUUUCUUCUUUUUUGUCCAAUUAGUUUAUCAUUUUUAAUGUCAAGCUUGCUUUGCCUGAUGAGAGAGAUUGUGGGCAUGGGCUUCUCAAAAUGUAAUCAAAUUCAGUUAAUACUGUACAACAUAUU
Molecule: non-coding RNA, 4457 nt
Organism: Podarcis lilfordi (Lilford's wall lizard)
Lineage: Eukaryota; Metazoa; Chordata; Lepidosauria; Squamata; Lacertidae
Source: the annotation of a GenBank genome assembly